AGGUCAGGAAUAGAGUAUAUAAUAGAGCAUUUAUGGUAAGGAUGUCAUGAGCUACCGUGCUUGCUAGCUCUUCAUGUUAAGUGGGUGAGCAAGCUCCUCUCUCAGGCUCCUUCUGCCCUUCUUGAACAGGGUGUUGAAAGAUUAAAUGAUCAUUGAGGUUGGAAGGGACCCAAGGGUCUCUACUCCAGCCUCCUGCUGGAAGCAGGGCCAAGGAUGGAGACCACACAACCUCUCUAGCCAGCUGGUGCUUGACUGUCCUCCCGGUGAGAAGGUUUCUCCUUAGACACUGCCUGAACCUCUCUCCCAUUGUUAUGCCCAUUGAUCUCCUCUCACCUUGCACCCUGUGAGGAGCCUGGCCACAUCUCCUCAGUGCCCCUGUGUGGGUUAUGCAUCUGCAGGUCCUGCUGGCCCAUUCCUGCCUCCAUCAUUGAUGAGAUCCCCCAUUCUGGGGCCACCUGCAGCUUUCUGAGCACGGACAGUGACCAGGAGGCAGUGAGGAGCCUGGGGCCCUCCUGCCCUUUGCUUUUCCCUCUCACAGCUCUGCACUCUUAAGAGAUCCCUGGCGGAAAUGCCAGUGCCUAGAGCCAGCAGGACCAACCUCUCCUUACACGAGUGAUGCCACCACUGCCUCUUGCAGCCCUGACUCCAGAUUCCUCCCAUGUCAUUCACAGUUCCAAGGGCACCAUGGGACUGCACUGGCUUCUCCUUGGCACGCAAGCGAAGCAGAGAUGGGCUUGGAUCUGAAAACUCUCCAGAGCAGGACAGCCCUGAGCAAGGUCAAGGCCCGUGCUCAUCCCACCACCAUUUUGCCAAGCGGGUGGUUGGGAAGCACAGAGCCCAGUUACAAGACAAAGGCCGGGAGUCCCAGGGCAGCGUCACCAGCGCAGUCAUCUCCACACAUGCAAAGGUCCCUUCUGCCUUUUUUUUUUUUCCCCUUUGAAAUUUCAAAUUCCAGUUUGUGGACAAAGUCCUGCCUAUCUGAGAAUAUAGAUCUCCGACCACUGACCAAACUCCACUCCAAGCAGUCCCGAGGGCUGCUCUUCCCCUUGCCCGCAGAUGCCUCCGCUCAGCCCCUGGAUCUGCUGGGAUCACUCCUUUUGCACUGGAGCAGAGUGCUCGUACUUGCAUAAAGAGGAUUCUGUGUGUUUCAGCCUAAACAUCAGCAGCUCCCUUUCUCCUCACGGAAUGGGAAGGACCAUCGGGAAUAACCAGGAGUGUGCAGGGUGCCUGGAUACGCACUUGUCCUCGGUGUCCUCAGUCACCAGAGCACACCAAGUGCCAGAGGGGUAAGUGGGAGCUAAGUAGCACCCUGGAGCUUCAUGUCCACAGCAGCUUCGCACCCCUGCAGCCUGUGGCCACCACAGCACCUCCCGUGCAACAGAGCAUCCUGUCCACUGCCACAGAAACACGCAGCAGCAAGCAAGGUAUGGGAACAGGGGAGCUUUCUACAGGCAAGGUUUGUUGCAUGGGGAGGGGAGAAGAUCACGCAUGGGCACGACACUGCAGUGCCAACUGCCUGGCUCCCAGCUAACAAACAACAUAGCUAACGACUAAUUAGCCUCUGAGCAUUUGACCUAUGUCUCCAAGACAGGAUAGCACUAUUAGUUAUCCCUUUACUUUCCUGGAAGGCCCAGUGCCAUUGGCCUCUUGUAUCAUAAAGAAAUUAAAGUAUAUUAUGACCAUAAACUACAUCAUUUGAGGAAAUGAACCAUUUCUUAGUAAACCAAUCAUGGGACACAGCAA
Neopsephotus bourkii (Bourke's parrot) is the source of this 1743-nucleotide long non-coding RNA. RefSeq lists it as uncharacterized. The transcript is spliced from 2 exons. The record is from RefSeq and is a predicted model, not a curated record. Lineage: Eukaryota; Metazoa; Chordata; Aves; Psittaciformes; Psittacidae.